RNAcentral lists this ribosomal RNA (298 nucleotides) under uncultured bacterium. RNAcentral's name for it is "partial 16S ribosomal RNA". It matches the Rfam family "Bacterial small subunit ribosomal RNA", at positions 61 to 629 of the family's 1533-position model. The record is from RNAcentral.
UUUCUCCUCCUUUUCUCAGCAGUGAGGAAUAUUGGUCAAUGGGCGAGAGCCUGAACCAGCCAAGUCGCGUGGGGGAGUACUGCCCUAUGGGUUGUAAACCUCUUUUGUCGGGGAGCAAAAGCCGGACGUGUCCGGCUGUGAGAGUACCCGAAGAAAAAGCAUCGGCUAACUCCGUGCCAGCAGCCGCGGUAAUACGGAGGAUGCGAGCGUUAUCCGGAUUUAUUGGGUUUAAAGGGUGCGUAGGCUGUCGGAUAAGUUAGAGGUCAAAUGUCGGGGCUUAACCCCGUGCCUGCCUCUG